CUCAGUAAAAGCAUGUGGUGCCCACUGGCCACACCCCCAAAGUUUGAUUGACAGUUAGAUAGUUCCUCUAAAAAUCUGACUCAGACCAAUCACUGUCGACAGGUUUCAAAAUGGCGGCUGACAAACAGGAAGCUGUGGUGACGGCUUUGGCCUGAUUUUGCGAGGGCGCGCUGCAGCAACAUCUGUGUUUGUGUCUUGCCUGGUGCGCUACAGCAGAGGCUGUUUCAAGGCUAUGCACCUUUGGAAUGUGUCCUGUUGAAGUGUGAGCCCCCCCGCGGACUCUACAGCCAGACUCCAGUGCAGGGCAGGCCCCUCGUGCCUGCCAUCUGGACCCCCUGAACCACGGCUCUGCGAAAACACACACAUGCAGACUAAGUACAAUUUCUGACAAAUGUUUUCAGUUUAUUCAGAAUCUCAACUUCAAAAUAAAGUACAUCUUAUGUUACAUCGACAAAAAAAAAA
Long non-coding RNA from Oryzias melastigma (Indian medaka), 462 nucleotides. RefSeq lists it as uncharacterized. The record is from RefSeq and is a predicted model, not a curated record. NCBI's taxonomy places the organism in Eukaryota, Metazoa, Chordata, Actinopteri, Beloniformes, Adrianichthyidae. The transcript is spliced from 2 exons.